Molecule: non-coding RNA, 1359 nt
Organism: Bubalus bubalis (water buffalo)
Lineage: Eukaryota; Metazoa; Chordata; Mammalia; Artiodactyla; Bovidae
Source: the annotation of a RefSeq genome assembly
AUCACAAAUACUUCUUUUGUAUUGUUCAAAAUUUGGCUUGUUAAUAUAAAAUAGCUACUCUGUUAAUUUGCAAGUGCAGUGGAAGCUGUGACUGACGUACAGCAAGUUGUGUAUUUCGUUACCUGAGAGGGAAGGGAGGAGGGGAGGAGGCAGAUAGACAAGAGAAAAAGCAAAGAAGUUAUUGAUGUAACCGAUUUUUUUUUUUUAAAGAUAUGAUGAAAGAGCCUAAUCAGGAAAAAAGACAAUUGAAAGACUGGAAUCCACACUAGUUGUUUCACCAGCUUCCCUGCCCUCCCAGUUAGACUCUCAAGUAAGUGGGCCUGUGAUGACCACAGGAAGAGAGCACGUCACAAGGAGGUGCUGCAGGGAGAGGAGGAGCCUGAGAGGAAAAGCCUCUGCUCUCUUUCUCCCUGAGCCAGCCAUGUGCUUUGGUCUCCUGUGCUGUGUGGCUCUUUUCAUCUGGGGAGCAGGCUCCAUGGACACUGAGGUCAUCCAGAGUCCAGGUCAUCUGGUCAAAGGAAAAGGCCAGAAAGCAAAGAUGGAUUGUGUCCCCAUAAGAGGACAUAUUAAUGUUUACUGGUAUCGCAGGAAGCUGGAAGAAGCAUUCGAGUUCUUGGUUUACUUUCAGAAGCAAGACAUUGUGGAAGGCACAGAAGUGUUCAAAGAGCGAUUUUCAGCUCAGUGCCCUCAAAACUCACCCUGCAGCCUGGAAAUCAACUCCACUGAGGCAGCGGACUCGGCUCUGUAUUUCUGUGCCAGCAGCCAGUCCACAGUGCUGCACGUCAGCUCUUCUUCGAACACAAACUCACCAUGGACCCAGCUCAGGAAAUCACUGGUGUCGUAGGAGGGUAGGAACUAACGGAAACCCACCUUGAAAGAGCAUAAAGCAGAAGGAAAAAUCUGUAAAUGGCCACACAGGAUGAGCAGAAGGGGAGGUGGAAAACAGCUGUUGGGAACACAAACCAAAGGAUGGGGCAGGAAGCUGUAAGUGGUCUCAGAUUCCCCAGUUCGCAGGGUAUCUGGCAAAGGAGACACAGGAUGUGACCUUGAUGGGUUCCUAAUAAUCUUUAUUAAAAAGUGUAGUUUUGAGCUUUUCACCUGGCAAAACUGUGCCUUCAGAAAUAAGGAUAAGCAACAGAGGCACCCUGAUCACGUGGCUCAGCACAUUAAUUGAUCCAAACCCAAUGACUCCUUAGGGGUUCAUGGCUGAUUCUCUCAGCUGUCCCUGCCAGAGGAGCUGAGCAAGAAACUCAGCAACUCCUUAGGUCCUGAAUACUACAAUUACACAAGCUUUAAAAGCAACAUCUCUGCAAUAAAAUGCACCCAAUUGAGUAUAUGUUUCAAUACUUUUUGAUGAGA